Molecule: ribosomal RNA, 469 nt
Filed under: uncultured Glomus
Lineage: Eukaryota; Fungi; Glomeromycota; Glomeromycetes; Glomerales; Glomeraceae
Description: SSU rRNA
Rfam family: Eukaryotic small subunit ribosomal RNA
Source: RNAcentral
UUCCAGCUCCAAUAGCGUAUAUUAAAGUUGUUGCAGUUAAAAAGCUCGUAGUUGAAUUUCGGGGUUAGUAGGCUGGUCAUGCCUCUGGUAUGUACUGGUCUCACUGAUUCCUCCUUCCUGAUGAACCGUAAUGCCAUUAAUUUGGUGUUGCGGGGAAUUUGGACUGUUACUUUGAAAAAAUUAGAGUGUUUAAAGCAAGCUAACGCUUGAAUACAUUAGCAUGGAAUAAUGAAAUAGGACGUUCGAUCCUAUUUUGUUGGUUUCUAGGAUUGACGUAAUGAUUAAUAGGGAUAGUUGGGGGCAUUAGUAUUCAAUUGUCAGAGGUGAAAUUCUUGGAUUUAUUGAAGACUAACUACUGCGAAAGCAUUUGCCAAGGAUGUUUUCAUUAAUCAAGAACGAAAGUUAGGGGAUCGAAGACGAUCAGAUACCGUCGUAGUCUUAACCAUAAACUAUGCCGACUAGGGAUCGG